RNAcentral lists this ribosomal RNA (484 nucleotides) under uncultured bacterium. Its description in RNAcentral is "partial 16S ribosomal RNA". It matches the Rfam family "Bacterial small subunit ribosomal RNA", at positions 30 to 507 of the family's 1533-position model. The record is from RNAcentral.
AUUGAACGCUGGCGGAAUGCUUUACACAUGCCAGUCGAACGGCAGCACGGGGGCAACCCUGGUGGCGAGUGGCGAACGGGUGAGUAAUACAUCGGAACGUGCCCGGUCGUGGGGGACAACGUAGCGAAAGUUACGCUAAUACCGCAUACGAUCUGAGGAUGAAAGCGGGGGACCUUCGGGCCUCGCGCGAUCGGAGCGGCCGAUGUCAGAUUAGGUAGUUGGUGGGGUAAAGGCCUACCAAGCCGACGAUCUGUAGCUGGUCUGAGAGGACGACCAGCCACACUGGGACUGAGACACGGCCCAGACUCCUACGGGAGGCAGCAGUGGGGAAUUUUGGACAAUGGGCGCAAGCCUGAUCCAGCCAUUCCGCGUGCAGGACGAAGGCCUUCGGGUUGUAAACUGCUUUUGUAUGGAACGAAAAGGCUCUGGCUAAUACCUGGGGCUCAUGACGGUACCGUAAGAAUAAGCACCGGCUAACUACGUG